AUCCUACGGGACGCAGCAGUAGGGAAUUUUCGGCAAUGGGGGGAACCCUGACCGAGCAACGCCGCGUGAACGAGGAAGGUCUUCGGAUCGUAAAGUUCUGUUGAAGGGGAAAAAGAGCGGAGAGAGGAAAUGCUUUCUGAUUGAUAUUACCCUUCGAGGAAGUCACGGCUAACUACGUGCCAGCAGCCGCGGUAAUACGUAGGUGGCGAGCGUUAUCCGGAAUGAUUGGGCGUAAAGGGUGCGUAGGCGGCCUGCUAAGUCUGGAGUGAAAGGUACCGGCUCAACCGGUACAGGCUCUGGAAACU
RNAcentral lists this ribosomal RNA (305 nucleotides) under uncultured bacterium. RNAcentral's name for it is "bacterial SSU rRNA". It matches the Rfam family "Bacterial small subunit ribosomal RNA", at positions 335 to 634 of the family's 1533-position model. The record is from RNAcentral.